GUGUAUUUUUUCCCAGAUAGUAGCAUUAAUUCUCACCAAAACCUCGCGGUUACAGAUUAUUUCGAACAUUAUUACUCUUGCAAUAAAAUAUAUACUGAGAAAAAAAGUUUUACCCGUUCGGAAUCGUGUCGUGUAGAGAAAGAG
RNAcentral lists this long non-coding RNA (144 nucleotides) under Neodiprion pinetum (white pine sawfly). RNAcentral's name for it is "uncharacterized LOC124222658". Lineage: Eukaryota; Metazoa; Arthropoda; Insecta; Hymenoptera; Diprionidae. The record is from RNAcentral.